Molecule: long non-coding RNA, 1420 nt
Organism: Mauremys reevesii (Reeves's turtle)
Lineage: Eukaryota; Metazoa; Chordata; Testudines; Geoemydidae
Exons: 3
Source: RefSeq, a predicted model, not a curated record
GGAUGCUAGAAAUCACAGGCCUGCAGCCUGAGCUGGCGUGGUAGGCGAACCAGGUCGGGGAAUUCAUGGUUUGGUCCAGAGUGGCUGCAGGCAGCGUGUCGUGGAGGUCUGGGGAAGCAGAGCGUGCCGCCUUUAAAGUGCCCUGGUUACCUCCAUGAGUGAUCAGCCCACCAGACAAGUCCCUGGCCCGACCGUUGUCCUCCGGCGUAGAGAGGCAUCGUUGUCAGAGCGCCGGUGACAACCUGGCUAAGCGGAAAGGAACCGGGGUGAAAUCCAGCUGGCUGGGGGACCACAGAGGACAGCUCAUCACCCCGCUUCAAGCCACCCACCUCUUGGACGUGGCUGGCGGAGCUCUGGCCAAGUCCACGCAGGGAGCUAACAGAAGAGCCUGGGGACCAGCGCCAGGAGCAACGCUCGACUCUCCCUCCAUCCCGCCUGCCACAGCCAGAGCUCCCCGAGUCAGCCAGGCCGCCUCCCGUCAUAUGGCCAGCGCUGACCGUGGCACCCACAGGCAGCUGCUUCCUUGUGUCCCUGCUUGGCAAUGAUCCGAAACAAAGGCGGCCCCGGGCCGGUCGCCAGGCUCCUGCAGGAGGCUCAGAGAGCUCUGGCGUACUUCUUAGUGAUGUACACGCUCUUGCUGGGCGGGCUCCUGUGCGCUGGCUUGAUAUUACAAUACCUGGCACCGCUGUGAGCGGAGACGCCACCGCAGGCCCAGCCUGGGUCCCAGGAGACCUGGGUCCUCGUCCUGGCUCUGCCGGUGACCUCGGACAAGUCACGUCCCUGCUCUGUGCCUCAGUGUCCCCACCUGCUGCUGGCCGCCGGUGCGAAGUGCCUCGAGAUCUACUGAGGAAAAGCGCUAGAGCAGAGCUAGCUCGUGUGAUGAUGCAGGGAAGGACUGAAGGUGUCUCACGAGCCGCGUGGAUUUUAAAAGCAUGUGUAAUCCACACCUACUCAGCGUGGCGUUCUGGUCCCCUUUUGUGGGGCCGGGGCCACCCGCAGAGAGGCUGAUGAACCCGGUGGCUAUGUUAGCUCAGGCAGUAGCAGGGGCUUAUGCUUUAAGAUCUCCAGUUCAAUUCCCCCUCCCACCCCUGGCAGUGUUGUGUAACACAUUCAGUUACUGCUGCUCACGUGUGCCGAGAGGGUGCUCCUCCGCUGGGGGAAGUGGGCCCACAGGGAAGAUGCAUAACGGCCCCUCAGCAGUGGGAUGCACUGCGAGGCCCUGAUCUUGGCUGGACUGUCUGUGUGUGCAAUAGGCUAAUAAUAAUCAUCAUCAUGUUGACCAUGGAAGUUGUUUGUAUUUGCCAAAGCGGUGUCCAGGCUGUGGGGGCCGCUGCCUUCCAUUUAAUGCUGGCAUUUCCGGGGACCCAGGGCGGGGUGCGGAGAGGGAGAGAGACAGCCUGGCGGACAAAGGUGAUCACUU